CCUACGGGGGCAGCAGUGGGGAAUAUUGGACAAUGGGGGGAACCCUGAUCCAGCCAUGCCGCGUGUGUGAAGAAGGCCCUCGGGUUGUAAAGCACUUUCAGUGAGGAAGAACGCCUGGUGGUUAAUACCCAUCAGGAAAGACAUCACUCACAGAAGAAGCACCGGCUAACUCCGUGCCAGCAGCCGCGGUAAUACGGAGGGUGCGAGCGUUAAUCGGAAUUACUGGGCGUAAAGCGCGCGUAGGUGGCUUGAUAAGCCGGUUGUGAAAGCCCCGGGCUCAACCUGGGAACGGCAUCCGGAACUGUCAAGCUAGAGUGCAGGAGAGGAAGGUAGAAUUCCCGGUGUAGCGGUGAAAUGCGUAGAGAUCGGGAGGAAUACCAGUGGCGAAGGCGGCCUUCUGGACUGACACUGACACUGAGGUGCGAAAGCGUGGGUAGCAAACAGGAUUAGAUACCCUGGUAGUC
RNAcentral lists this ribosomal RNA (464 nucleotides) under Vreelandella stevensii. RNAcentral describes it as "partial 16S ribosomal RNA". It matches the Rfam family "Bacterial small subunit ribosomal RNA", at positions 338 to 795 of the family's 1533-position model. The record is from RNAcentral. Lineage: Bacteria; Pseudomonadati; Pseudomonadota; Gammaproteobacteria; Oceanospirillales; Halomonadaceae.